GUGAUAAGUGCGCAACAUGCAAAUUCAUUUCUAAUGUGGCAAGAUCAAGCUGGCAUAUGUAGCUUAUGGUGAAUCCAGGUUCGCACGCAAAGGUCAUGGUUAAUGGUGGCGGGUGUAGUCCCGAUCAUGAUACUUACCCUUGUGUUCUGAAAUCUUGCUUGUGCUCUGAUAAUUUAAGCUUCAAAUUGCAAGCGCAUAAAGACAUGCCGAAGGAUCGACUUGAUUUAUAUCUAUUUGUUAGAAGCGGUCUAAUUCCAGUGUAUGGGAAAUGUCUUUGCUUGUUGAAGGCAAGGCGUAUUUUAUUUUUACAUGAAGUAUCUAGCGGCGAUGUUAUUUGAUAAUGCAUUGAAGGUUCUCGGGAAAAGGCUUUAACACAAGAGUCAGCUGUCAUUUUAUGUCUAGUCUCAUGCCGGUGGUAAAUAACAGACCAGUUGAUAACAUUCUGUAUGUUAAGAAGAUAUUAUGAAUUUAGACAAGAGAUUAGUUUUAUAUGCCUAGCAAAGCUGUAGAAUUGUAUUUAGAAAUGGAGAAAAGUGGGGUGAAACCUAGCGUAAUUACUUGUGCUAGUGUUUCUUGAGCUUGUGAGGAUCUUGACUAUAUUGUUAGGAAGGAGAAUUGAUCAAUAUGUUGAGAGGAAGAAACUGUAUCCAAAUUUUCUAUUGGAAAAUACAUUAGUAGACAUGUAUGCUAGUUGUAGAUAUCUAGAUGAUGCAAGAAAGUAAGAGAAUGUUCGUUAUGUUGAUUCAUUGAUCGGAAUUCAUUGAUAUCUGCAUAUGAUAUGACUAGACAAGGUUGUAAUGGGUGGAACUCUUCACAAAAAUGCAAUUUAGGUCUAAGCACGAAUUCUAUUGUCUUUGCAA
Non-coding RNA from Arachis ipaensis, 860 nucleotides. The record is from RefSeq and is a predicted model, not a curated record. Lineage: Eukaryota; Viridiplantae; Streptophyta; Magnoliopsida; Fabales; Fabaceae.